CAGAGCCCGCCAGCUGCUAAGCCAGGGCCACACCUGGGGGUGAUUCAUGCCUCACCUCCAGUAGGCUCAUGGCCUGUCUGGGCUAACUUCUGGCUCCUUUGCACUAACUUUAGCUCUUACCCAGCUAAUCCCUGCCUCUCCAUGGCUGCCCCAGGGGCUGACCACUAACAGCCAGCCUUGCCUACUAAGGGUGGGGGCUAGAGGGAAGGGGGUUGUCCAGGUUCCUGGCCUGGCUUUGGCCGGCUCCUUUGAACUACCCCUUUCUCUGGACUAAUUCAUGCCUUUCUGGUCCGUUCCUUUUGGCAGAAAUGAAUGGCUGUGGCUUUCUCUCUAACAGGUCUCAUCUUCCUCUCACUGUCACCACUAACAGCUUGGAUGGCAGCAUGGCCGGG
Molecule: unclassified non-coding RNA, 392 nt
Organism: Cricetulus griseus (Chinese hamster)
Lineage: Eukaryota; Metazoa; Chordata; Mammalia; Rodentia; Cricetidae
Product: predicted gene, 27998
Source: Ensembl